RNAcentral lists this ribosomal RNA (264 nucleotides) under uncultured archaeon. Its description in RNAcentral is "partial 16S ribosomal RNA". It matches the Rfam family "Archaeal small subunit ribosomal RNA", at positions 717 to 982 of the family's 1478-position model. The record is from RNAcentral.
AGACGUCUACAUUAGAUACCCGGGUAGUCCCAGCCGUAAACUAUGCGCGUUAGGUGUAUCGGUGACCACGAGUCACCGAGGUGCCGAAGGGAAACCGCGAAACGUGCCGCCUGGGAAGUACGGUCGCAAGGCUGAAACUUAAAGGAAUUGGCGGGGAGCACCACAACGGGUGGAGCCUGCGGUUUAAUUGGACUCAACGCCGGGAAGCUCACCGGAUAAGACAGCGGAAUGAUUGCCGGGCUGAAGACUCUGCAUGACUAGCUG